CAGGAUGAACGCUAGCUACAGGCUUAACACAUGCAAGUCGAGGGUAACGUGCGGAAGCUUGCUCUGCAGACGACGACCGGCGCACGGGUGAGUAACGCGUAUCCAACCUGCCCCAUGCUCUGGGAUAACCUUCCGAAAGGGAGCCUAAUACCGGAUGCAGUGCGACGAUGGCAUCAGAAUUGCACGAAAGAUUCAUCGGCAUGGGAUGGGGAUGCGUCUGAUUAGCUUGUUGGCGGGGUAACGGCCCACCAAGGCUACGAUCAGUAGGGUUCUGAGAGGAAGGUCCCCCACACUGGUACUGAGACACGGACCAGACUCCUACGGGAGGCAGCAGUGAGGAAUAUUGGUCAAUGGGCGGGAGCCUGAACCAGCCAAGUAGCCGUGCAGGACGACGGCCCUACGGGUUGUAAACUGCUUUUAUGAGGGGAUAAAGUGGGCUACGUGUAGCUUAUUGCAGGUACCUCAUGAAUAAGGACCGGCUAAUUCCGUGCCAGCCGCCGC
RNAcentral lists this ribosomal RNA (501 nucleotides) under uncultured bacterium. RNAcentral describes it as "bacterial SSU rRNA". It matches the Rfam family "Bacterial small subunit ribosomal RNA", at positions 25 to 518 of the family's 1533-position model. The record is from RNAcentral.